RNAcentral lists this ribosomal RNA (117 nucleotides) under Bacillus halotolerans. RNAcentral's name for it is "partial 23S ribosomal RNA". It matches the Rfam family "Bacterial large subunit ribosomal RNA", at positions 2809 to 2925 of the family's 2925-position model. RNAcentral also lists the same sequence under 1 other name. The record is from RNAcentral. Lineage: Bacteria; Bacillati; Bacillota; Bacilli; Caryophanales; Bacillaceae.
AUUUCCCAUUCCGCAAGGAAGUAAGAUCCCUGAAAGAUGAUCAGGUUGAUAGGUCUGAGGUGGAAGUGUGGCGACACAUGGAGCUGACAGAUACUAAUCGAUCGAGGACUUAACCUA